RNAcentral lists this ribosomal RNA (1188 nucleotides) under Apilactobacillus kunkeei. RNAcentral's name for it is "Lactobacillus kunkeei partial 16S ribosomal RNA". It matches the Rfam family "Bacterial small subunit ribosomal RNA", at positions 37 to 1169 of the family's 1533-position model. Lineage: Bacteria; Bacillati; Bacillota; Bacilli; Lactobacillales; Lactobacillaceae. The record is from RNAcentral.
UGNNGGUGCUAAUACAUGCAAGUCGUACCAAGCUUCUACAAAAUUGAUUUUAUGCUUGCAUAAAUGAUUUUUGGAUUCGGAGCGAGUGGCGAACUGGUGAGUAACACGUGGGUAACCUGCCCCAAAGCGGGGGAUAACAUUUGGAAACAAGUGCUAAUACCGCAUAAUUAGUUGGAACCGCAUGGUUCCAACUUGAAAGAUGGCUCUGCUAUCACUUUGGGAUGGACCCGCGCCGUAUUAGUUAGUUGGUGAGAUAAAAGCCCACCAAGGCGAUGAUACGUAGCCGACCUGAGAGGGUAAUCGGCCACAUUGGGACUGAGACACGGCCCAGACUCCUACGGGAGGCAGCAGUAGGGAAUCUUCCACAAUGGACGAAAGUCUGAUGGAGCAACGCCGCGUGAGUGAUGAAGGUUUUCGGAUCGUAAAACUCUGUUGUUAAAGAAGAACAAGUGUUAGAGUAACUGUUAACACUUUGACGGUAUUUAACCAGAAAGCCACGGCUAACUACGUGCCAGCAGCCGCGGUAAUACGUAGGUGGCAAGCGUUGUCCGGAUUUAUUGGGCGUAAAGCGAGCGCAGGCGGUUUUGUAAGUCUGCUGUGAAAGCCCUCAGCUUAACUGAGGAAGUGCAGUGGAAACUACAAAACUUGAGUACAGAAGAGGAAAGUGGAACUCCAUGUGUAGCGGUGAAAUGCGUAGAUAUAUGGAAGAACACCAGUGGCGAAGGCGGCUUUCUGGUCUGUUACUGACGCUGAGGCUCGAAAAGCAUGGGUAGCGAACAGGAUUAGAUACCCUGGUAGUCCAUGCCGUAAACAAUGAAUACUAGGUGUUGGAGGGUUUCCGCCCUUCAGUGCCGAAAAAAACGCAUAAAGUAUUCCGCCUGGGGAGUACGACCGCAAGGUUGAAACUCAAAAAGGAAAUGAACGGGGGCCCGCACAAGUGAUUUGAAACAUGUGGUUAUUAAUUACGAUGCCAUAACGCGAAGAAACCUUACCAGCUUCUUGACAUCUUCUGCCCAAACCACAAGAGGAUUAGGCGUUCCCUUUUUAGGUGUGACUAGAAAUUUGAACCAGGNUGGCUGCAAUGGGUUNAUUCAGACUAUAGNCNNCGCNNNNCGAUGNAANAAUGNNNUUNGGGNNNUANAGNUCCAUCGNNCAANCGNAAGNNCGNCUCACAANNCNCUNUNNNNU